Molecule: non-coding RNA, 70 nt
Organism: Podarcis lilfordi (Lilford's wall lizard)
Lineage: Eukaryota; Metazoa; Chordata; Lepidosauria; Squamata; Lacertidae
Source: the annotation of a GenBank genome assembly
GCCCUGGCUCAGUCAGUCGAGCAUGAGACUCUGAAUCUCAGAGUUGUGGGUUCGAGCCCCACGUUGGGUG